This 3221-nucleotide long non-coding RNA is filed under the name Homo sapiens (human). RNAcentral describes it as "long non-coding RNA NONHSAT147901.2". Lineage: Eukaryota; Metazoa; Chordata; Mammalia; Primates; Hominidae. The record is from RNAcentral.
GAUGCAUCUGAGCUUCAGGAGAGAAAGAUGGGGGGCAGAGGUGGUGAGAAGAAGAGGAGGAGAUUUCCAUGAAGGGAGAGGAGCCCAGUACUGAGAAUGGAUGGGAGAGGAGAGGAAGAGGGUGGAGUGGGCUCUGCCCCACAGUCCCCCAGAGCCCUGGCUCAGACACCUUCCUCCAGGCCCAGGGGCCCUCUAGCCUCCACUGCCCUAGCCCCAGACUGCUCACCUCCUCUGCCCUCUACCCUCCUGUGACAGCAGGGAAACUGAGACCUGGAAAGGGAGGUGGCAUCCAGAUUUGGGCCCCUUUGUCCCCUUGUAAGUUCCCCUGCUUCCCCCUGAACCCCACAGGCUUAGGGAGCCCAAAUGGCUACAGAUCUGGUAAAGCUGGUGGCGGGGUGCUUGGGGAGGGUGGCACACCGGCUCCCAGCUGCUCCAGCACCCCGGGCUCAACAUCUCACUUCUCCCACAGUCUAUGGCCCCCACAGUGGCCUGGGAGCAGGAUUCGUGGUCAGGCAUGGGCUGGGAACCCAGCCAGGUGAGAGCCGUGGGGUCCCCUCCUUCCCUCCCUCCCAGGCCUCAGACGGAAGAGGCAGGAUUGGAGAGAUUGUUGGGGGGAGGCGCAGAGAGCCUCUCAGGUUUGCUGGUGUCUGGCUUAGUCCAAGGGGGGGUUCAAGGGUCUUGUACCCCCACCUCAGCUGGGACCCCAAACCUCCUCAGCUCACCUCUCUCUCUCCCACGAGCCCUUCCACUAAGAAUGGCUAUGGAGCAGGUAGAGAUGGGAGUGGGGGAGCUGGAAGCCAGGAUUCUAGGGGUAUCCCUGGGAUGGGGAUUCCUGAGCCCCUCAUCUGAUCCCCCUCUCUUUCCCAGACACUGAAGGGGGCAUGAAACCCCAAAACCUAGGUGAGGCUCGCCCAGCCCCUGCCUGCCUCCCUCCUCCUGACUCCCUCCUGCCUUCUCGCCCCAGGGUUCAGGACCUUCGCAGGUGCUGCAGCCCAGCCAGGAUAUGGAAACGGGCUGGGAGCAGCGGCCUUCCCAGUGGCCGGAGCCCAGUCAGGAUUGGGGAGCAGAAGUGGUUUGGGCGCUGGCACUCUUCCAGGGGCAGGAACCCCACCAGGAUACAACAAUGGAAACGGACCGGGAACCCAGCCAGGUCGGGGCCGAAGGGGCUGGGGUGGCUGGGGGAGAGGUCAGGGGCCCAGGGCCACACUCUGGGUCCCAACAGAUGGGCUCUUGGGGGUUCAUUCAUUCACCCAAUCUCCCCUGAGCACCCGUCCCAAGCCAGGCCUCGGCUGGCCAUGGAGGACACCCAAGCUGGUCAAGGGUGGCCACGGUCUGGACUCCCGGGCCAAGAACCAAAUCCAACUUUGACUGCAGUCAGGCCUGGGAGGGAGUUCACACAAGACAGAAAGGCAGAGGGCAGGGGUCACGCGAGACAGAAAGGGAGAGGGCAGGGCUCCAGGCCCCAGCUCAUCCCCACUGCACCACCUUCCACACUCCUGUGUCUGCCCUCAAACAGGUCCUGCCGCUCAAAAUGGCUUUGGACCAGGUAAAGAGGGUGGGGACGGAAGCGGGGAGCCUGGGGCUGAGAUUCUGGGCACAGGCCCAGAGGAAAGGAUCCCUCACCCUCUCAUCUUCCCCCCAGGCUUUGGAGGGGGUGGAAAACCCCAGAAGCCAGGUGAGCCACUCCCUGUCCCUGUCUCCCUGCCCAUUUCCUAUGCAUCUGCCGCUGCUUCCCUAGAGUCCCUGAUCUCCCCAUUCUCUUUGGCUCUGUCCCCUGGGAUUUGGGAAUAGGAAUGGGUGGGGAGUCGGGGCCUUCCUGGGAGCUGGAACCCAGGCAGGUAAGGCCCUGGAGUUCUGGGAGCAUGGAGGUCUUAGGGGUUGGGGGUUACUGAUGUAGGGGCCUGGCCCUGGUCCUGAGCAGAGAGGAAGGGAUGGGUGGACUCACAGGAAGUCCUUCCCCUUCUCUUCCCAGGCCUGGGAGGGGGACUAAAGGCUCAGAGAGCAGGCGAGCCCCAAUCUCUAGCCUCCCAACUUGGUCUCACACAACAAACCUCAUUCGACAAACCAAUCCAGGCCUGGAGCAGUGGCUAACACCUGUAAUCCCAACAGUUCGGGAGGCAGAGUUAGGUGGAUCAAUUGAGCCCAGGAGUUCAAGACCAGCCUGGGCAACAUUCCCAAGCUGGUCUUGAAAUCUUGGGCUCAAGCAAUCCAUCUACAAAAAAAAAAAACCUAGCCAGUUGUGGUGGCACGUGCCUGUAGUCCCAGCUACUCUGGAGGCUGAGAGGUGAGGAUCACUUGAGCCCAGGAAGUCGAGGUAGUAGUGAGUGGAGAUCUUGCCACUGUACUCCAGCCUGGGUGACAGAGAGAGAUCCUGUUUAAAAAACAGACAGGCCGGGCUCAGUGGCUCACGCCUGUAAUCCCAGCACUUUGGGAGGCUGAGGCGGGUGGAUCACAAGGUCAGGAGAUCAAGACCAUCCCGGCUAACACAGUGAAACGCCGUCUCUACUGAAAAUACAAAAAAAUCAGUCGGGCGUGGUAGUGGGCACCUGUAAUCCCAGCUACUCGGGAGGCUGAGGCAGGAGACUGGCGUGAACCCAGGAGGCGGAGCUUGCAGUGAGCCGAUCGUGCCACUGCACUCCAGCCUGGGUGACAAAGCAAGACUCCGUCUCAAAAACAAACAAACAAACAAACAACAACCAAAGUAAUCCGUGGACCAUGCCUGUUCUGAGCCAACCAGGUGCUGGGGACAGGCCCUCCCCAACCAGGGCCACGCUGGGGCAUACAGUAUGGGCUGAGGCUGCCCCAGAGCUGGGCUCUGGGAGUUCUUAGGAGGCAGUGGAGGCCAGGGAGGAGAGAGUGGCCCAACCCUCUGAGAAACUGAACCAAAAGGAGAGUUUUGAACAAAGAAGGUACAGGCUCCAGCAAGAUCUCAGACCUGGCCAGGCGCAGUGGCUCACGCCUGUAAUCCCAGCACUUUGGGAGGCCUAGGCGGGCGGAUCACUUGAGGUCAGGAGUUCAAAACCAGCCUGGCCAACAUGGUGAAACUCCGUCUCUACUAAAAAUGCUAAAAAUUAGCCAGGCGUGGUGGCGGGCACCUGUAAUCCCAGCUCCUCAGGAGACUGAGGCAGGAGAAUUGCUUGAACCCGGGAGGCGGAGGUUGCAGUGAACCAAGAUCACGCCAUUGCUCUCCAGCCUGGGCAACAAGAGCGAGACUCCAUCUC